This 2665-nucleotide unclassified non-coding RNA is filed under the name Hevea brasiliensis (rubber tree). The record is from RNAcentral. Lineage: Eukaryota; Viridiplantae; Streptophyta; Magnoliopsida; Malpighiales; Euphorbiaceae.
GUUUUAUGUCAUGUUCCGUACACUUAAACUCCAUCCUGGUCUACUAUCAAAAGUUCACGGCACCUUCCGCUUAAUUUCGACUCGGUAUUGCUCGAUGGAGAGUGAUAAAGGCACAGAUCGAGGUUCAAGCCCUGGUGGCUAUUCCGUGGUCUCUGUGAGUUUUUUAAUCAUUUUUAAUCAAUCAUAUUUGUUCUUUAUUUAAGAUAGCAAUAUGAGUACUGGCAUCAUCUUGAUUAUGGGUUUGAUAAAAAAAAAUGAUGCUUUUUCAUGGUAAAAGGUAUAAAUUCAUCGUAAUUUAUAGUAAACCAGAACGUUGGUUGUUCGAUUUGACUAUUUCGUCCAUGAAAUUGGGAAUUCAAUCACUUUUAUUGCUCAAUUCAACUUUGCAUAGAAGCAGGGCUCUUCUUCACCUGGCAAAAACGAUUCUUCUUCUCAUGCUGAGAGAAAUAAACUAGGGAAUUACUCAGCAAAAACAACUCCCAAGAAGUUCAACGUUUCUGAGUCUAGGGCUGCGCCUGAUCGUAUCUAUAGAAAAGAGCAUUCCGCACACACUAGUACCAGCACUGAUUUGAGCUCUAAUCAUGGAUAUUUGAAUAGAAGAAGAACUAGAGUUGAUCUUGGAUCACAGGAGUGGAAUGUGGAUAUCAACUCAUCCCAAAUUGGGAUGUCCCCCAUGGCAAAUUGUACAAGUGACCAAUGCAAAUUUUCUCUGUCCACUCAAUUUGGGAAGAAGAGCACAACAGCUCAUGCUAAAAGAUCCAAGCCUCACCAAAGCUAUUUCAUGUGUCAUGUAAAUGAGGAUUUUCCGAAGGCUAAACCAUUUGAUGUGUGCUUUCCCAAAAGAAGAAAUGCUAGUGUCUUGGAAGCUUCAUUGUAUGAAAUGCAUGAAGAAAACCGGAAAAAGGUAGGGUGCACCAUUCAAGGGACUAAACAAGGAGUUUUGCGACCUGGGAUGGUUCUGCUAAAGCAUUACAUCCCCCACAAUUGCCAGGUGCUGCUUACUUAAUAGUCAAUGCUUACUCUUCUACUGUGUGAACUACUUUCAAAAGCAAGUUGUAAUUGGUAGUGCAAAAUUACUAUGCUAUAUAUAAUACUCAAUUGAGGACGUGAUAAUACUUAUAGCGAGAAGUUUAAUGAGACCUAUGUUUUGGACAAUUAGGUGUAUUGGUGAACAUUUUGUCACUUUGGUGCUUCUCCUUAUAAGCCAGUGGACCAAUGAAUAUAAAUUUCACUGUUAGCUGUCAUUUGCAAGUGGAACAUUUUAAAUCAGAAUCCUAAUUGAUGUUACCCAUUCUUUAGGAGUUGAGAAAACUAAUUAUGUUUUUGGAGUUUUCUAUUAUCAAGCAUCAUUUCUUAUUUUUGCAUCUGAUGACAACCUAAUCAAAUGGCUGAACAGGUGAGCAACCAAACAACCGAAUAGAUGAGUAGCCGAAGACAAUUAAUUAUUCAAAUAGAAACAAGCUGUCCUACAUACAGAGUGCAGAUUUGCACAAAGCUAUGGCUUAAGGAUAUAUUCUUAGUUCAUGGGUAACUACAUAGGAUAGAGUUCUCCAACUAAGAUAAGGAUAGACUUUACGAAAGACGGUUCUAUAAAACUAUGCUAGAUUUCAAGGCAUAACUAAAUAUGUAUAGAAUCUCUCAAGAUAGUCAAUAAGCUUUAAAAUCCUCCAUUAUUCAUUAUUCAUUAACUUGAGAGCUAACUUAGCCAUUGCGUGGACUCCCUAUCAGAGCUGGGAUUCCUCGUUCACCUAUUCUUAUUGCAAUUUGAAAUUUUCCCUGCUUAGAGAUCGUUAGCCAUCUCUUGUAAUUGUCCUUUGUUUGACUCUCUACCCGUCAUAAUGUUUCAGGUGAAAAUAGUGAAGACUUGCCGAGAACUUGGUCUAGGCCCUGGGGGAUUUUAUAGGCCUAGUUACCGAGAUGGGGCAAAACUUCAUCUACAAAUGAUGUGUCUUGGUCUGAACUGGGAUCCUGAGACAAGAAAAUAUGAAGAUCGGCGAAGGGUUGAUGGUUGUGAGCCACCUGGUAUUCCUUGUGAAUUUAAUCUAUUGGUUAAAAGAGCAAUUCAAGAUGCACAUGCCCUUAUUAGAACAAAUUGCAACUUAAGCAAUGCUGAAGAAGUAAUUCCUGUAAUAUCUCCAAAUAUAUGUAUUGUGAACUUCUAUACAACCAGUGGACGACUUGGGCUCCAUCAAGAUCGUGAUGAAAGCACAGAAAGUCUUCGCAAAGGAUUACCUGUUGUGUCUAUCUCCGUCGGUGACUCUGCAGAAUUCCUGUAUGGGGAUCAGAGGGAUGUGGACAAAGCACAGAAAGUUGUACUGGAAUCAGGAGAUGUAUUAAUCUUUGGUGGUAAGUCUAGACAUAUAUUUCAUGGUGUGACAUCUAUCAUCCCAAAUUCCGCUCCCAAGGCUCUAUUAGAAGAAACUGGACUUCGUUCCGGCCGUCUCAACCUUACUUUCAGACAGUUCUGAAAAGCCUUUGAUGUAGUUGUUUAUCUAGAUAUGCAGCUGAUUGAGGUCAUAUGCAUUGUGAGCACAGUUCAUAAUUGUUCUAGUGUAUGUUCUGGAUAAUUGUUUGUUUCUGCAGCUAUGAUUUUUUAAUUUUAGUAAUGAAGAGAAAUGAACAAUUAUGGUAGGCAUGCCAAGUUAUCUUGCCAAAAAUUGUUGAC